CGGUGUCAGUAAAACUAGACGGCUCUAUUUUGUGUCGAGGGGAAAAUAAACCAUUUCAGGAGUAAAAACACAGGUUUGAUUUAACACACCGAUGUUGGAGUGAAGUAAACGUGUGUCCUGCUGUAAUCUGGAGGAGACAUGACCUCCAACAUGAGUGUGUCUGGAGACCAGGACUUAAAGAAAGACGAGAGAAUGAUGGAGGGAAAGAGAUCAGACUCACCAGAAUCCAGCUGUGUGUCCAUGAAGAGUGACCGGUCAGUGGGUGUUCCACUUAACUUCAGAGACGGAGCCAGUUCUCCUGAUAUGAGACCACAAAAGAAGAAAUCAAACAUCUGCAGAAAUCAGCUGGACUCCAUAUUCAAGG
Ictalurus punctatus (channel catfish) is the source of this 364-nucleotide long non-coding RNA. RefSeq lists it as uncharacterized. The transcript is spliced from 4 exons. The record is from RefSeq and is a predicted model, not a curated record. Lineage: Eukaryota; Metazoa; Chordata; Actinopteri; Siluriformes; Ictaluridae.